GGUCCCGUAGCUCAACUGGAUAGAGCACCUGCCUUCUAAGCAGGGGGUUGGGGGUUCGAGUCCUCCCGGGAUCGCCA
RNAcentral lists this transfer RNA (77 nucleotides) under Planktotalea frisia. RNAcentral's name for it is "tRNA-Arg". It matches the Rfam family "tRNA". Rfam says of the family: Transfer RNA (tRNA) molecules are approximately 80 nucleotides in length. Their secondary structure includes four short double-helical elements and three loops (D, anti-codon, and T loops). Further hydrogen bonds mediate the characteristic L-shaped molecular structure. tRNAs have two regions of fundamental functional importance: the anti-codon, which is responsible for specific mRNA codon recognition, and the 3' end, to which the tRNAs corresponding amino acid is attached (by aminoacyl-tRNA synthetases). tRNAs cope with the degeneracy of the genetic code in two manners: having more than one tRNA (with a specific anti-codon) for a particular amino acid; and 'wobble' base-pairing, i.e. permitting non-standard base-pairing at the 3rd anti-codon position. The record is from RNAcentral. RNAcentral also lists the same sequence under 5 other names. Lineage: Bacteria; Pseudomonadati; Pseudomonadota; Alphaproteobacteria; Rhodobacterales; Paracoccaceae.